RNAcentral lists this ribosomal RNA (468 nucleotides) under uncultured bacterium. RNAcentral's name for it is "partial 16S ribosomal RNA". It matches the Rfam family "Bacterial small subunit ribosomal RNA", at positions 28 to 507 of the family's 1533-position model. The record is from RNAcentral.
GACGAACGCUGGCGGCGUGCUUAACACAUGCAAGUCGAACGGAAAGGCCCUGCUUUUGUGGGGUGCUCGAGUGGCGAACGGGUGAGUAACACGUGAGUAACCUGCCCUUGACUUUGGGAUAACUUCAGGAAACUGGGGCUAAUACCGGAUAGGAGCUCCUGCUGCAUGGUGGGGGUUGGAAAGUUUCGGCGGUUGGGGAUGGACUCGCGGCUUAUCAGCUUGUUGGUGGGGUAGUGGCUUACCAAGGCUUUGACGGGUAGCCGGCCUGAGAGGGUGACCGGCCACAUUGGGACUGAGAUACGGCCCAGACUCCUACGGGAGGCAGCAGUGGGGAAUAUUGCACAAUGGGCGGAAGCCUGAUGCAGCAACGCCGCGUGCGGGAUGACGGCCUUCAGGUUGUAAACCGCUUUCGCCUGUGACGAAGCGUGAGUGACAGUAAUAGGUAAAGAAGCACCGGCUAACUACGUG